AGUGAACGCUGGCGGUAGGCCUAACACAUGCAAGUCGAACGGCAGCACAGUAAGAGCUUGCUCUUACGGGUGGCGAGUGGCGGACGGGUGAGGAAUACAUCGGAAUCUACUUUUUCGUGGGGGAUAACGUAGGGAAACUUACGCUAAUACCGCAUACGACCUACGGGUGAAAGCAGGGGAUCUUCGGACCUUGCGCGACUGAAUGAGCCGAUGUCGGAUUAGCUAGUUGGCGGGGUAAAGGCCCACCAAGGCGACGAUCCGUAGCUGGUCUGAGAGGAUGAUCAGCCACACUGGAACUGAGACACGGUCCAGACUCCUAAGGGAGGCAGCAGUGGGGAAUAUUGGACGAUGGGCGCAAGCCUGAUCCAGCCAUACCGCGUGGGUGAAGAAGGCCUUCGGGUUGUAAAGCCCUUUUGUUGGGAAAGAAAAGCAGCAGGUUAAUACCCCGCUGUUCUGACGGUACCCAAAGAAUAAGCACCGGCUAACUACGUG
RNAcentral lists this ribosomal RNA (492 nucleotides) under uncultured bacterium. Its description in RNAcentral is "partial 16S ribosomal RNA". It matches the Rfam family "Bacterial small subunit ribosomal RNA", at positions 29 to 507 of the family's 1533-position model. The record is from RNAcentral.